RNAcentral lists this long non-coding RNA (471 nucleotides) under Brassica napus (rape). RNAcentral's name for it is "long non-coding RNA (BNAP_LNC007965)". Lineage: Eukaryota; Viridiplantae; Streptophyta; Magnoliopsida; Brassicales; Brassicaceae. The record is from RNAcentral.
GAUAUAUGGUGUUUUUCACAUCAUUGUAUAGGUGUUUUUGUAUUGAUUCGAGUCCAUAAUCCGAGUCAGUCUAGUCCUUUUUGAUCUUUUACAGGUCUGGAGUUGGUAGAAGAAUGAAGAGAGCAUGCUUGAAGAGAAGCUGUCCUUUUGGAGCAUUUUGCGGAGAACACUCAAGACGAACAGUCCCGAGACUGUUCUCUAGCAGAACAAACAUACGGAGUGAUCCCGAGGUUGUUCCCGACAAAUAAGGAAGCUUCUAUUUUCGGGAAUUAAGGCCUUGUUGCCCUAAUUUCUUUUCUACCUAUUGGCGCCUCCAUAUAAAGACGCCAUCUAUCCUAUUUUAUUUCUUACGCUAGUUUUUUACAAGAGAACUAUUAGCUUUUGCGAUCUGCAACUUGUAAGGGAGAAGAAUCCAUUCUCUCAUAGAGAAGACCUUCUGAACCCUUGUUUACUACUCUUAUUAUUAUGCAG